GAUGAAGAACGUAGCGAAAUGCGAUAAGUAAUGUGAAUUGCAGAAUUCAGUGAAUCAUCGAAUCUUUGAACGCACAUUGCGCCCGCCAGUAUUCUGGCGGGCAUGCCUGUUCGAGCUUCAUUUCAACCAUCAAGCCCCCGGCUUGUGUUGGGGACCUGCGGCUGCCGCAGGCCCUGAAAAGCAGUGGCGGGCUCGCUGUCACACCGAGCGUAGUAGCAUACAUCUCGCUCUGGGCGUGCUGCGGGUUCCGGCCGUUAAACCACCUUCAUAACCCAAGGUUGACCUCGGAUCAGGUAGGAAGACCCGCUGAACUUAAGCAUAUCAAUAAGCGGAGGA
RNAcentral lists this unclassified non-coding RNA (336 nucleotides) under soil metagenome. RNAcentral's name for it is "partial contains 5.8S ribosomal RNA, internal transcribed spacer 2, and large subunit ribosomal RNA". The stretch from base 1 to 120 matches the Rfam family "5.8S ribosomal RNA", at positions 35 to 154 of the family's 154-position model. The record is from RNAcentral.